This is a long non-coding RNA of Varroa destructor (honeybee mite), 1279 nucleotides long. NCBI's taxonomy places the organism in Eukaryota, Metazoa, Arthropoda, Arachnida, Mesostigmata, Varroidae. The record is from RefSeq and is a predicted model, not a curated record.
CAGACGAACUUUGCCUUUGAUCUUUAGCAGUUCCUAAACUUGUGUUGUUGCAAUCAGCUGUUAUUCGUCCUGCGUCUUACUCAUUCUAUUGAUUUUUAGAGAAAAUUGUUUAUAAAAGCACACUUUGACAUAACUCUACUUUUUUUAAUAAGACUUAUGGGUGACCAAGACGUAAACGACCGGCCGUCAUACAACAAGAGCCAGCAAGUUAGAGCACGCACCCGCGGGGUCAAAUCCAACCCAACUACAAUUGACGAACAACGGGCAGAACUUGAGGAAUAUCGAUAUAAAUUAGAUAUGUUCGAGUCAAGGCUCCGAAAUUCGUCAUUUAUGGAUCCUGAGGACAGGCGAACUUUGCGGGAACAAGCCAAGGAGGCAAGAGAGCACUUGAGGAAACUGGAAUGGCAAGUUAACCGUAUUCAUCGGAAGUCUCAAAAGUCAUUUCUGAUAAUUUUUACUAUUUUUACUCUGUUUAUAACACUGUACAUAUUUCUUAUGGUCAAAACGAUUUGGAAGGACGAAAAGAACAGCGAGCGUAUUACGUAAUUACGAUUAAUAUACUUAGCUAGGAAUUAUCAAAAUGACAAUAAAAUCUAAAUCUGAAGCAAUUUAAUAAUUUCGUACAACUAUUUUUUAUGAUAAUGACACGUUAGAAUUAUACUGUUACAAACUUUUUAUGUUUAGCCCUUAACAACAACCAUAUUAUGACCGCAUUUAGAUAAAUUAAAAAAGCGCAAGACAUUCACAAGGUUUCCUGGAAAAGAAUCGUUACUUACUAUAGAUCGCUCGACUUGAUAUGGUCAGUAUUAUGAUUUAAUAACCCAAUAAUUUGCAAUGCUUUUUAGUGCAACACGUGGUAUAAGCAAUUGGGCGUAGUCGAGAGCGUAUCGGAUUCGAGUUUAAGUAGCGUUCUCACUGAUUCUAUCGAUAAGACGUAACUAGCUGACAUUUGCUGGGAAAUAAUGCGUCAAUUAUUCCUUCUUUAGAGUGAGGGCCUUCACUCCAUAAUUGCUGAGGCUCUGAAUUUUUUUUUAUAUGCCUCAUACUCACUAAAUUUCUGUCGAAGGAAACGAUUCAUUAUGAUUGUUGUAACUUCUGUUUACGGCCAGCCAUAGGUUUUAAAAACAAACAUCUCCGCACGUGUAAUAUUGCAAAACAGGCCGGAUACGUGAAAACAAGCAUACAUGAAGCCUUUACUUGUAAACUGAAUGUACAUCAUUGAAGAACGGAGACGUCUGUCUCCGAGAGCCGAAGAGAAAUUUCCGCUGUUUAACCGUCU